UACGUAGGGUGCAAGCGUUAAUCGGAAUUACUGGGCGUAAAGCGUGCGCAGGCGGCUUUGCAAGACAGAUGUGAAAUCCCCGGGCUUAACCUGGGAACUGCAUUUGUGACUGCAUGGCUAGAGUGCGGCAGAGGGGGAUGGAAUUCCGCGUGUAGCAGUGAAAUGCGUAGAUAUGCGGAGGAACACCGAUGGCGAAGGCAAUCCCCUGGACCUGUACUGACGCUCAUGCACGAAAGCGUGGGGAGCAAACAGG
Molecule: ribosomal RNA, 253 nt
Filed under: uncultured bacterium
Lineage: Bacteria
Description: partial 16S ribosomal RNA
Rfam family: Bacterial small subunit ribosomal RNA
Source: RNAcentral